UAUGUGAUCGUCUCUCGCAUAUCAAUAAGCGGAGGAAAAGAAACUAACAAGGAUUCCCCUAGUAACGGCGAGUGAAGCGGGAAGAGCUCAAAUUUGAAAUCUUAAAGGGUUUCCCUUUACGAAUUGUAGUUUAAAGAAGUGUUUUCUGUUGAGGUUUUGGUAAAAGUUCUUUGGAAUAGGACAUCAUAGAGGGUGAGAAUCCCGUAUUUGACCUUUACUUUCAACUUUGUGAUACACUUUCAAAGAGUCGGAUUGUUUGGGAAUGCAGUCCAAAAUGGGUGGUAAAUUUCAUCUAAAGCUAAAUAUUGGCGAGAGACCGAUAGCGAACAAGUACCGUGAGGGAAAGAUGAAAAGAACUUUGAAAAGAGAGUUAAACAGUACGUGAAAUUGUCAAAAGGGAAGCGUUUGACACCAGUGUUGUUUUUCUGAAAAUCAAUUAAAGAACUGUUUAUGCUAAGCUUGUUUAGACUUUAUCAGCUAUCUGUUUAGUUUUAGGCUUUUCUUUAAUGCACUUUUCAGUUAACAAGUCAACAUCAAUUUCUUUUGCUGUAAAAAAGCUUGAGGAAGGUGGCUUGAGAUUCGUCUUAAGUGUUUAUAGCCUCUUGCCUAUGCAGUCGGAGAGAUUGAGGUCUGCAGCGUAGAUCCUUCGGGGCUAAAUGCAUCUGUGCUAAGUUAUAGCAUUUUAUAGACAACUUGUUGACUAUGAUUUGUCUUGUAGCUUACUCGCUUAUGUUAUUUUACCUACGCUUAGGAUGUUGAUCUACAGAGCGAGAGU
This 775-nucleotide ribosomal RNA is filed under the name uncultured Neocallimastigales. RNAcentral's name for it is "partial large subunit ribosomal RNA". It matches the Rfam family "Eukaryotic large subunit ribosomal RNA", at positions 24 to 635 of the family's 3401-position model. The record is from RNAcentral. Lineage: Eukaryota; Fungi; Neocallimastigomycota; Neocallimastigomycetes; Neocallimastigales.